UAAGCCUCGUGCUCAGAGUACGAGGGGGUUUUACAUGAGAUAAUCAAUGCUGUUAUACUAAGUGCACCGAAAAAACUUGCCAAAUUCACAGUUGAAAGAGAGACUGAGCAAACAUGGUCAUUUGAUAGAAUUUUUCUACCCCGGGCAACACGAGAUUCUAGUGAAAUUAACUCUACAAGAUGUGGGCAAUAAUUCAAUAAAGUAAAAUGGAUUUCUACAAUGCCAAAAUGUUAGGAGAGAAGACUGUACUAGAUGAGAUGGCUAAUCCUUAUUAUCCAGGAGCUUCUAUAACUUCCAAUCCUUGGAUCCUGAGUGAUGACUUCAGAUGUUCGUAAUCCACUUUCAAUCUUAAUUCUGAUACAGGAUGAUCAAAUCAUGUACGUUGACAAGGCAGAUUAAACUCACUUGAAGAAGCCUCUACUAGUUCUCUUGGCUUCAAGUCCAACAAAGAAAACUGAUGGUCUGCUAAUUCAUCGUCACUGCUCUCAGCCUGUCAA
Long non-coding RNA from Magallana angulata, 497 nucleotides. RefSeq lists it as uncharacterized. NCBI's taxonomy places the organism in Eukaryota, Metazoa, Mollusca, Bivalvia, Ostreida, Ostreidae. The record is from RefSeq and is a predicted model, not a curated record. The transcript is spliced from 5 exons.